Pongo abelii (Sumatran orangutan) is the source of this 148-nucleotide unclassified non-coding RNA. It matches the Rfam family "Metazoan signal recognition particle RNA". From Rfam's summary of the family: The signal recognition particle (SRP) is a universally conserved ribonucleoprotein. NCBI's taxonomy places the organism in Eukaryota, Metazoa, Chordata, Mammalia, Primates, Hominidae. The record is from Ensembl.
GCUGGGCGUGGUGGCGCGUGCCUGUAGUCCCAGCUACUUGGGAGGCUGAGGCAGGAGAAUCACUUGAACCCAGGAGGUGGAGGUUGCAGUGAGCUGAGAUCACGCCACUGCACUCCAGCCUGGGUGACAGAGUGAGACUCCAUCUCAA